CCGGUCAUCUCCUUCAUCUCUUCGCCGAAAAACACGAAGCCAACACCACCACAACCUCCACCAUCACUUUACUAAGCGUAAUCACAUCGUAACUAAUUAUUCGCUAUCUAAAAAUCAAUUCUUCACCUUUUCGACCCUUUCCCCCUGUCAUCUUCUUCUCUCAAUCUCACUAUUCAAGAAACUCAUUUCAUUUUUAGUAAUCAACUUCAAAAAUCCCAUUUUUUAGAUCCUAUUUUUGCUAAAACAAUCCUUUUUUUAAACCCAUUUUAAUCCAGAUCGAGCAUCAUGCUGGAUCGAUUCUUGAGCCUCCGCCAUAGGUGGCAAAUCCAUAGGCUUAUGCAUAAUGGGAAGCUGACGCUAUUUUGUCUUUUGCUUACGGUGUUCGUUUUACGAGGAAAUCUGGGAGCUGGAAAAUUUCAUACGCCAAAGAAGGACUUGGAUAAGAAUUGAGAAAUAUUUUCAUAGAUUCGUAGGUGGGUCGAGCCACGCUGUAUGGUAGAAGAGGCAACAGUGCUUAAAGACAGCAAAAAUACAGUUCAUCGACUGAUGCUUCGAAAAAUGUUAGUAAUAAGGAAGAUAUUGAAGGAUGAAAAUGAUGGAAUCGAAGAAUUUAAACUAUUUUUUGGUAGGGUUUGUAGAGUGGGAUGAGGUGGUGUCAAGAUCCGGCAGUUUAUCCGACAUUACGUGGGUAGUGGCGACAAUGUCGGAGGUUGUCUGUG
This 719-nucleotide long non-coding RNA is filed under the name Olea europaea subsp. europaea. The record is from RNAcentral. Lineage: Eukaryota; Viridiplantae; Streptophyta; Magnoliopsida; Lamiales; Oleaceae.